This is a long non-coding RNA of Triticum aestivum (bread wheat), 1457 nucleotides long. RefSeq lists it as uncharacterized. NCBI's taxonomy places the organism in Eukaryota, Viridiplantae, Streptophyta, Magnoliopsida, Poales, Poaceae. The record is from RefSeq and is a predicted model, not a curated record. The transcript has 7 exons.
CAUAGCCGCACUCGCGCCGUCCCCUUCCUCUUCCUCCCGCCUCACCUCUCUCUCCUUCCAAACCCAAGGCCCGAGCCCGCCACCGCUGCUCUGCCCGAGCCCGCCGCCGCCGCUUCCUCCUUCCCCGCUGGCGCCCGGCCUCCUCCCCUCACGUCCUCCUCCUUCUACCCCCUCCUGCCCCGGCCCCGGCUCCCUCGGGAGGGAAGCAGGAAUGGCGAGGCGAGGCAAAGGCGGCGGCGUAUGGGACGCGGCGCGGGCGGCGUGGCCCAGGGGGUCGGCGCGGCCGCGGCUUCUCGUCAUCUCCACCGUCGCCUAGGCGCUGGUCCUCCUUGCCUUCCACAUCUGGUCCUGCGACGCGCUGUUGCUCGACGCCACCAUGGCGGUGUUCUUCGGCAGUCGGGGUCAAGAGAGUAGGGUUUCAUGCCAUGGUCGUUUCUUGGGUACGUGGAUGUUGUUCCUCGGAUGUGGAAAAAAGAAUGGAGCAGGAGGAAAAGAGGAAGGAGAAGCUCUGCCACCUCCAUGCCCGUGCACUGCUUCCUGCUCGCCUACAGUAGAUGCAGAAGUGAGAGGAGGAGCCAUGAGAAUAGCUCCUUCGAGAUCCAGGGCUAUGGCUUCUUCUUGUCAGUUGAGAAGAAGCGCAUUUUUGCCGAAAACUGGCAAUGCCACCGGAGCAGCAGCAACAUCACUCAACCUGUUCAUGUUAGCCCCAGAUAAAUUAUCAUCUAUGCUGAACCCCGCGGACAAGGAUUCUGACCAAAACUCACUGCUGGAGGUUCCGUCCAGGUUGCCGCCGUCGCGGAGCUGGACGGGGUCAUGGCGUCUCCAAGCUUUUUUAGGCUGAUGCUCCUCUGUCCACAGAAUCCCGGAGCAGCAAGGUGUGUUGUUGCUACUCCCUACACCUCUUGAUGUUACCAUUCUCCAUCCACAGCUACCAUUUGGAGAAAAAGCUAUCCAGAAAUAAGAUUCACGGGAGCCCUCGGACGCACACAAAGCUCAGCGCAAUUCGGCCGUCUUGCUUAGUGGAUGCUGUUGUGGCCGUUGUCUGGUGGUGCGGUUAGGGUUUGUGGCUGGUGCUCCUUGAGAUUGGCUCGCCGUUGCACCUUUGGCUGCUACUCCGACUUCGAUGAUGGUUAGAUGCAGUCGGUAUCCGGUACAUCGAGUUCAGGGACGUGGGGUGGAGUGGCUAUGACUGGGAGGAGCCCUGCGACGACCUCAAUGCCUACUGCCACGACCACGAGAACAGUGUCAGAAAAGGAAGGGUACACAAAUGGGGAUGACAUUGCUCAUUGGCAGGCUACGUGGCCGUGUUGAAGAACUGGGGACUGUCUCCGUCUUAAUUGUCGAUGAUACCUCUAUGUUGCCUCUCAUGGCCUUUUUACUUUGUUUGUACAAUGAAUGCUUGAUUGGACAUUGAUUCUUUAUUCAUGGUGGAUUUGUACAGUUACAAACUGUUUGUG